GUGCUCACUUUGCUAGCACAUAUACUAAAAUUGGAACUAUACAGAUAAGAUUAGCAUGGCCCUAAAGCAAAGAUGACAUGCAAAUUCGUGAAGCAUUCCAUAUUUUU
Suncus etruscus (white-toothed pygmy shrew) is the source of this 107-nucleotide small nuclear RNA. NCBI's taxonomy places the organism in Eukaryota, Metazoa, Chordata, Mammalia, Eulipotyphla, Soricidae. The record is from RefSeq and is a predicted model, not a curated record.